CCUACGGGAGGCAGCAGUGAGGAAUAUUGGUCAAUGGACGCAAGCCUGAACCAGCCAUGCCGCGUGCAGGAAGACGGCCCUAUGAGUUGUAAACUGCUUUUGUACGAGGGUAAACGCAGAUACGUGUAUCUUUCUGUAUGUACUGUAUGAAUAAGGAUCGGCUAACUCCGUGCCAGCAGCCGCGGUAAUACGGAGGAUCCAAGCGUUAUCCGGAUUUAUUGGGUUUAAAGGGAGCGUAGACGGGUGGUUAAGUUAGAUGUGAAAGUCUGAGGCUCAACUGUAGAAUUGCAGUUGAUACUGGUAGGCUUGAGUGUAGUUGCGGUAGGCGGAAUGUGUGGUGUAGCGGUGAAAUGCUUAGAGAUCAUACAGAACACCGAUUGCGAAGGCAGCUUACCAAGCUACUACUGACGUUGAGGCACGAAAGCGUGGGGAGCAAACAGGAUUAGAUACCCUAGUAGUC
This 460-nucleotide ribosomal RNA is filed under the name uncultured bacterium. RNAcentral's name for it is "partial 16S ribosomal RNA". It matches the Rfam family "Bacterial small subunit ribosomal RNA", at positions 338 to 795 of the family's 1533-position model. The record is from RNAcentral.